AAAAACAGAGUGACAUUGGGUUCGGCAAGGAGGGAGGUGGAGAGAUGGGGCUAUCGUGCUUCGCCUGCUUCGACGGAGGAAACAAGAAACAGAGACGAGAAGAAGAGAGAUUGGCCUCUGCAGAAGCUCGUGCUAAAGCAGCCGAAGCUGCCCAGAAAAGGCAAGAGCAAUUUGAAAAAUCUGCAGCAGGAAGAGCUGCACGGGCGCAGCUACAGGGGAUGGCAAAGCAAUCUGCAAAUUCUAACAAAGGCGAACCGGUUCUAAAGUGGCAGCUGAGUUGAAACUAGGAUUUGUCCUUGGUACAGCUGCGGUUUUUUUUUUGUCUAAGUCAUGGGCAAUCUAUGAAGACAAAUCUCAGAAUCAGGGAGUUAAAUGUUCAUUUGAUUGAAUUCAACCACAUUCUCUGCCUUCCCAGUUUCUCACCUUCUGAAGGCGCUCUGUCAAUAACUUUGCAACAGAUGCUGCAUCCCAAAUGUCAUUAUUUAUCGCCAGUUUUUUUUAUAUAUAUACUUAUCUGAUGAUGACAUAUGUUGUACAGAAGUAAUGUGGAAUGGUCCAAUUAUGCCAUGAUAGCAGAUCAUCCUCGAUGUUUAUGUUGUUAUAUCGGAUAACAAAAAUCUUUUAUCCCCUUUUCUGAAGAACAUAACAGUUAGUUGAGCUCUUGUUGGAGUAUAAUGGGUUUGUUUUUG
This is a long non-coding RNA of Populus euphratica (Euphrates poplar), 689 nucleotides long. RefSeq lists it as uncharacterized. Lineage: Eukaryota; Viridiplantae; Streptophyta; Magnoliopsida; Malpighiales; Salicaceae. The record is from RefSeq and is a predicted model, not a curated record. The transcript is spliced from 5 exons.